UACAGAGGUCCCAAGCGUUGUUCGGAUUCACUGGGCGUAAAGGGUGCGCAGGUGGGUUGGCGAGUUUGACGUGAAAGCCCCGGGCUUAACCCGGGAAUGGCGUUGAAAACUGCUGAUCUGGAGGAUUGGAGGGGGGACUGGAAUUCUUGGUGUAGCAGUGAAAUGCGUAGAUAUCAAGAGGAACACCAGUGGCGAAGGCGAGUCCCUGGACAAUUCCUGACACUGAGGCACGAAAGCCAAGGGAGCAAACAGG
This 253-nucleotide ribosomal RNA is filed under the name uncultured bacterium. RNAcentral describes it as "partial 16S ribosomal RNA". It matches the Rfam family "Bacterial small subunit ribosomal RNA", at positions 524 to 776 of the family's 1533-position model. The record is from RNAcentral.